UACGUAGGGGGCAAGCGUUGUCCGGAAUUAUUGGGCGUAAAGCGCGCGCAGGCGGCCUCGUAAGUCUGUCGUUUAAACUCGGAGCUCAACUUCGAGUCGCGAUGGAAACUGCAAAGCUUGAGUGCAGAAGAGGAAAGUGGAAUUCCACGUGUAGCGGUGAAAUGCGUAGAGAUGUGGAGGAACACCAGUGGCGAAGGCGACUUUCUGGGCUGUAACUGACGCUGAGGCGCGAAAGCGUGGGGAGCAAACAGG
This 252-nucleotide ribosomal RNA is filed under the name uncultured bacterium. RNAcentral's name for it is "partial 16S ribosomal RNA". It matches the Rfam family "Bacterial small subunit ribosomal RNA", at positions 524 to 776 of the family's 1533-position model. The record is from RNAcentral.